GAGUUUGAUCUUGGCUCAGAUUGAACGCUGGCGGCAUGCCUAACACAUGCAAGUCGAACGGCAGCACUGGGAGCUUGCUCCCUGGUGGCGAGUGGCGGACGGGUGAGUAACGCGUAGGAAUCUGCCUCAUAGCGGGGGACAACUCGGGGAAACUCGAGCUAAUACCGCAUACUACUCGAGAGAGGAAAGCAGGGGACCUUCGGGCCUUGCACUAUGAGAUGAGCCUGCGUUGGAUUAGCUAGUUGGUAGGGUAAAGGCCUACCAAGGCGACGAUCCAUAACUGGUUUGAGAGGAUGACCAGUCACACUGGGACUGAGACACGGCCCAGACUCCUACGGGAGGCAGCAGUGGGGAAGUAUUGGACAAUGGGGGAAACCCUGGAUCCAGCAAUGCCGCGUGUGUG
This 403-nucleotide ribosomal RNA is filed under the name uncultured microorganism. RNAcentral describes it as "bacterial SSU rRNA". It matches the Rfam family "Bacterial small subunit ribosomal RNA", at positions 9 to 407 of the family's 1533-position model. The record is from RNAcentral.